AUUGAACGCUGGCGGCAGGCCUAACACAUGCAAGUCGAGCGGUAGCACAGAGAGCUUGCUCUCGGGUGACGAGCGGCGGACGGGUGAGUAAUGUCUGGGAAACUGCCUGAUGGAGGGGGAUAACUACUGGAAACGGUAGCUAAUACCGCAUAACGUCGCAAGACCAAAGUGGGGGACCUUCGGGCCUCAUGCCAUCAGAUGUGCCCAGAUGGGAUUAGCUAGUAGGUGGGGUAACGGCUCACCUAGGCGACGAUCCCUAGCUGGUCUGAGAGGAUGACCAGCCACACUGGAACUGAGACACGGUCCAGACUCCUACGGGAGGCAGCAGUGGGGAAUAUUGCACAAUGGGCGCAAGCCUGAUGCAGCCAUGCCGCGUGUGUGAAGAAGGCCUUCGGGUUGUAAAGCACUUUCAGCGGGGAGGAAGGCGUUAAGGUUAAUAACCUUGGCGAUUGACGUUACCCGCAGAAGAAGCACCGGCUAACUCCGUGCCAGCAGCCGCGGUAAUACGGAGGGUGCAAGCGUUAAUCGGAAUUACUGGGCGUAAAGCGCACGCAGGCGGUCUGUCAAGUCGGAUGUGAAAUCCCCGGGCUCAACCUGGGAACUGCAUUCGAAACUGGCAGGCUAGAGUCUUGUAGAGGGGGGUAGAAUUCCAGGUGUAGCGGUGAAAUGCGUAGAGAUCUGGAGGAAUACCGGUGGCGAAGGCGGCCCCCUGGACAAAGACUGACGCUCAGGUGCGAAAGCGUGGGGAGCAAACAGGAUUAGAUACCCUGGUAGUCCACGCCGUAAACGAUGUCGAUUUGGAGGUUGUGCCCUUGAGGCGUGGCUUCCGGAGCUAACGCGUUAAAUCGACCGCCUGGGGAGUACGGCCGCAAGGUUAAAACUCAAAUGAAUUGACGGGGGCCCGCACAAGCGGUGGAGCAUGUGGUUUAAUUCGAUGCAACGCGAAGAACCUUACCUGGUCUUGACAUCCACAGAACUUUCCAGAGAUGGAUUGGUGCCUUCGGGAACUGUGAGACAGGUGCUGCAUGGCUGUCGUCAGCUCGUGUUGUGAAAUGUUGGGUUAAGUCCCGCAACGAGCGCAACCCUUAUCCUUUGUUGCCAGCGGUUAGGCCGGGAACUCAAAGGAGACUGCCAGUGAUAAACUGGAGGAAGGUGGGGAUGACGUCAAGUCAUCAUGGCCCUUACGACCAGGGCUACACACGUGCUACAAUGGCAUAUACAAAGAGAAGCGACCUCGCGAGAGCAAGCGGACCUCAUAAAGUAUGUCGUAGUCCGGAUUGGAGUCUGCAACUCGACUCCAUGAAGUCGGAAUCGCUAGUAAUCGUAGAUCAGAAUGCUACGGUGAAUACGUUCCCGGGCCUUGUACACACCGCCCGUCACACCAUGGGAGUGGGUUGCAAAAGAAGUAGGUAGCUUAACCUUCGGGAGGGCGCUUACCACUUUGUGAUUCAUGACUGG
This 1458-nucleotide ribosomal RNA is filed under the name Klebsiella pneumoniae. Its description in RNAcentral is "bacterial SSU rRNA". It matches the Rfam family "Bacterial small subunit ribosomal RNA". The record is from RNAcentral. Lineage: Bacteria; Pseudomonadati; Pseudomonadota; Gammaproteobacteria; Enterobacterales; Enterobacteriaceae.